UUUUUCUUCCUUCUUUCUUUGCUAAAUCUCCUUCUCAAGUGAGGGUAGUAAGGUUUUAUGAAAUAAUUGUGGUGGAAAUUAAGGUUAAGUGAGGGAACAAAAGCUUGAGUGCAAGCUUCAAUGGAGUUUUGGUGAGGGAGAGGGAGAGUGAGAGUGAGACGGCAAGGGAUGAGGAAGAAGAACUUUUUGUAUUUUUUUUUUUUUAUGUCUUAGGAAGACUAUAAAUCAAUUUAAUUAAAUUUAUUAAUUAUAGGAUUUAUG
Molecule: unclassified non-coding RNA, 261 nt
Filed under: Hevea brasiliensis (rubber tree)
Lineage: Eukaryota; Viridiplantae; Streptophyta; Magnoliopsida; Malpighiales; Euphorbiaceae
Source: RNAcentral